ACCAUCCCAACGAAAUUGACGGACCAAGUAACCAGCUGCCAAGUUCUUCAAGGUAACUAAAUGCUUUACAAGACUCUAAAUAGCCAAUGCGACUCUGUUUUUAAGACCUUUUGCACAUUUAUAAGACCCUGAUCAUGGACUUUUGGGGCCUUCAUUUUUGUUGGUGGUUCUGAAUUUGUGUAUCUACAGUUCUACAAAAUUGAUAUGACUGAUUGUUUUGUUACUUGGACAACCAGCUUUGCUGGUGUUUUUCAUAGAGCUUUGCUUAGCAGUGCUGCAACUCAUUAGUAGAUUCAGAGUUUCCAUUUACAUCAUCUGGGAUAUACUUGAUGCGAUUACAAGUCCUACCAAGUAGUGAAUAGUAUAACAUUUUAAUUUGGAAUCCCACCUAGCAGUAUUCUAGGUGCCUGCCAGUCAACUCAUCAUAUCAUAUGAGCCCAGAAACACCGACCAGAUCACACUUGUACUAAUUUUCUCAGUAUUUAAGCAAAUCAGGAAGAACAGAUCUUAUUGGCUAUAAGCGUGCUUUCUAGUACUUAUUAGCUGUGUUGCAACUUGCGAGCAAGUUGCGGGGUUUCUGUACAUACUUUGUGGUGCUAUGUGUCAUGCGAUUCUUGGUUCUAAUAAGUAUUGGCUAGUUCAUGUUCACGUUAUAAUCCUAUAAGAUUGGGCUAUAGUUGCGAAUGCAUCUCUGUGGCAAUUAAUGGAUUCUGUCUAAGGCUUUUGCUCUUUGGUGUCACCCUGCCAGUGCAUCACUUAGCAUAGUCUGCAUGUUAAGAUGCUCAAAGCGAAGGGCGCGAUAAGUGUUUCCUUUGCAUAUGAUUGGUUACUGAUGAUGAUACUGCCUCUGGAAUAAAUAGGUGGGAUCCUCAAGGGCCAUUCAAACCAUUGCAUUUGAUGAAUCCGACAAGACUAUCUUUUAUUCACUCCAUACUCUAUAGACAUUUCAGGUACACUUAAUGUAUCUUGCAUAUGGUUGCUUUUUUUGCAGGUUCGUGAAGAGAACUGAUCUGGUUUUGUGAAGGAAGGGCGAGAAAGAUUAUGUGGGGAUCAGAUUGUCCAUGGCGACCUAGGAGGAGCAGCACCAUCUCAGGUUGCUCCGAUAUGGUUGUGUGAAGGAACAUGCAAGGUCUGCUACUGUUGUUGUGCUCCCUUGAACGAUCUGGUGAAGGACAAUUUUCCAUUGGUCGUCCCCCCAUGCUAUCUCUCUCUGCUGCAUAGUUAGGUUCAGUUUUUUUUCUCUUUCUAGUUUAAGCGUAAGCAGAUUCCAGUAGGUCUCUAUGUAUGUGGAUCAUGAGUUAGAACAUCUAAUCUAAUUACGGACCGCAGACUUGCUAUGUCAUGAUCAAACUUGCUUGCAUUCAGUUCAGAAAAUUUCUGAAUUCUCUAGUGUUUGCUUUCACUCAAUGAUUGUGGUACUGGUAGUCAAAUUAGAUGCCUCCUUUGCUGUAAUUCACUCGUUUCCCUGUCAUGGUUUAUCUUGAAUUUUGGUAGUGUGACAAACACAUUAGCAAAUCUAAAUAACUUUGACAUAUUUGCUCUAUUAUCUUGCACUGGAUUGGCACCUUUCAUUACCCUGUACAAAUAUAUCUCAAUUCCGCUAACACUGAUCCUUGUGUAUGGUCUUAACCCUUUUGGUUGCAUGAUACUUCUAUAUCUGUAGCCUUUAAUGAAUUCAAUGUAUGAUUGUGAUGAGAAUUAUAUGAUACCUACCUGUUUUUAUCCUUGAUCAGUAUCAUUUAUGGUCUCUGUUCUUAUUACUUGUUGUACGUUUAGUGCCUAUACAUUGUUGUGUUUUGCAGGUCUAGUCCUUCGCUGUUAUAGUUUGAAACCACUUCAUAACUCAUAAUUUGUUUGUCAUGAUUUAUUGCUUAUGAAAAUUAUUACAAAUAUGUUGAAAAUUGCAUAGAAGAAUUUUGUGCCAUCUCUGCAACUGUGCUAGAUGUGAUGUUCCUGAAACUUAUUAUGGUAUCUGUACUGUCCUUAUGUUGCAACACUAUAGUUAUUAUUUCUCAUCCUUACGCAGACAAGAAAGCUAACUUUGCUCUAGCCUUCUCAUCCAAGAAUAGAAAUAAAUAAAGGUCGACACAUCUUUAAAAUGACAUGUCAAACUUAGUUUUUGAGGCUAUGUUGCAUUUGUAGUUCUUGCUCUGUUAAAUUUGAGGCUACGUUGCAUUUGUAGUUCUUGCUUUGUUAAAUCUGAGAUUGAUGAAAAUGGUAUAUAGAAAGCAAAAAAUUGUAGCCACAUAAUGAUGUUGUAUGGUACCCCCAACAAGUAAUAUGCUUGAAUCAAUUUGAUUUUUCCUGAUUAUAAUUAUCUUACAGUAUCGUGAUGUUGGUAGGUAUAUGCGAGUCCGGCAGUGCGGUGGCAGUCCCCGUGGAAUGAGCGCUGGACUACUCCCUUGGCCAGGCGUACUUGUGCAAGCACGAAUGGAGCGAAGACUUACUGUUGGUGUUGCCCGCCAAGUUCUCCAGCCCGUGGUGAACCGAGGCUAUCUCAAGUGCUUCGUUGGUUGGGUUGCGUUCUUUGCUGCUGGUCUCAUGAAUGGGGUACAUUUCUGAAACUGAACUAGCUUGAGUGCCUAUUUUCUUCUUAAGUUGUCAUUUUACCAAACAUUUGUUGAUUGUUGAAAUGUUAUAUUUAGUUCCUGAUUAAUGAUUUUCAUCAAUAAAUUGUUGGUCACACGAGUCAAGCUUGUGCUCAUAUUUAGCUAGUUUUGGAUGUAUGUUGAUCCAAAUGUCCAGAAAAAUAGAAGCUAACCAUGUCAAAAGUUAGAGCACUGUUGAUUGCUAUAUUAGGGCAGCGCUGACCAUGUGUUGUAGAAGGAAGUUAUUUUUCUUGAAGUAAGGGCAAGGAGGAGGCAACACGUUGGAAGCUGGAUGACCCAGGGAUGGAUAAUAUGUGUUGGUCUCGCCAUCUACCUGGCCCUUUUGUUGAUAAAUCCAUUGCGCAAUGGGUGACCGUGGAAGGGAUGGAAGUUCAUAUUGCUGUUUGUAAUGAAGGUCACAGCCUAAUCCUGACUAUGGUCGUCUAGUGAGUAUGGCAUAUGGUUCAUAUGACAGGAGCAUGUGCCCAGUUUGUGAUCGCUAUUGACAGGAGCUCCAUUCUGAAGAAGAUUGAAGACAAUUGUGGAGUUGUAAAUUACUGUAGCUAGCUAUCACACUUGUAGAGCUUGUAAUAUUGUGAUUCCAAUUGUAUUACGUGUUAUUGGUAGAGCAAGAGCUCCAUACUGAUUCUGGCUGUUAUUAUUUGAAGUAUUACAUGUGUUUUCUGUCUGUUUGAAUUUAAAUAUUUGUUAUUUGUUCACUGGCAUAUUGAAAUCUGAAGGACAUGACCUUGACAUGAGGGACCCACAAAAAAGAACCUGACAUUACGGACCCACUUACCAGAAUCUGAAAAAACAAGAAAACAAAGGCCAUGGCUCAAAAAUAAAAAGGCUAAAAUGUUGGGCUAUGCCCAUGUAGCUGACAAAAACUGAUAUAUAAAAUAUAAAUAGGCUGAAUUGAUGGGCUUGGCCCAUGCAGCUCAUGAAAAUUGACAAAAAACAUAAAUUGGCUGAAUUAAUGGGCUCGGCCCAUAUAAACACCGAAUUGGACCGGGCUGAUUCUUGUGCCACAUCAGAUUGCCACGUCGGAUGCCUACGUGGCCUCGGGAGGCUGCUAGUAACUAAAACAAAACAGUAGGCAUAUUUUAGUCGUAAACGUCUACGACCUUCUCACAGAGAAGGUCGUUAAUUUCAGUUUACGACUGCCAGCUUUUGACCAUCUGUUUUUGGUCAC
This is a non-coding RNA of Aegilops tauschii subsp. strangulata, 3780 nucleotides long. The record is from RefSeq and is a predicted model, not a curated record. Lineage: Eukaryota; Viridiplantae; Streptophyta; Magnoliopsida; Poales; Poaceae.